Molecule: ribosomal RNA, 496 nt
Filed under: uncultured bacterium
Lineage: Bacteria
Description: partial 16S ribosomal RNA
Rfam family: Bacterial small subunit ribosomal RNA
Source: RNAcentral
AUAAACGCUGGCGGCGUGCCUAAUACAUGCCAGUCGAGCGAACAGAUGAGGAGCUUGCUCCUCUGACGUUAGCGGCGGACGGGUGAGUAACACGUGGAUAACCUACCUAUAAGACUGGGAUAACUUCGGGAAACCGGAGCUAAUACCGGAUAAUAUAUUGAACCGCAUGGUUCAAUAGUGAAAGACGGUUUUGCUGUCACUUAUAGAUGGAUCCGCGCCGCAUUAGCUAGUUGGUAAGGUAACGGCUUACCAAGGCAACGAUGCGUCGCCGACCUGAGAGGGUGAUCGGCCACACUGGAGCUGAGACACGGUCCAGACUCCUACGGGAGGCAGCAGUAGGGAAUCUUCCGCAAUGGGCGAAAGCCUGACGGAGCAACGCCGCGUGAGUGAUGAAGGUCUUCGGAUCGUAAAACUCUGUUAUUAGGGAAGAACAAAUGUGUAAGUAACUAUGCACGUCUUGACGGUACCUAAUCAGAAAGCCACGGCUAACUACGUG